Molecule: ribosomal RNA, 468 nt
Filed under: uncultured bacterium
Lineage: Bacteria
Description: partial 16S ribosomal RNA
Rfam family: Bacterial small subunit ribosomal RNA
Source: RNAcentral
GACGAACGCUGGCGGCGUGCUUAACACAUGCAAGUCGAACGGAAAGGCCCUGCUUUUGUGGGGUGCUCGAGUGGCGAACGGGUGAGUAACACGUGAGUAACCUGCCCUUGACUUUGGGAUAACUUCAGGAAACUGGGGCUAAUACCGGAUCGGAGCUCCUGCUGCAUGGUGGGGGUUGGACCGUUUCGGCGGUUGGGGAUGGACUCGCGGCUUAUCAGCUUGUUGGUGGGGUAGUGGCUUACCAAGGCUUUGACGGGUAGCCGGCCUGAGAGGGUGACCGGCCACAUUGGGACUGAGAUACGGCCCAGACUCCUACGGGAGGCAGCAGUGGGGAAUAUGGCACAAUGGGCGGAAGCCUGAUGCAGCAACGCCGCGUGCGGGAUGACGGCCUUCGGGUUGUAAACCGCUGGCGCCUGUGACGAAGCGUGAGUGACGGUAAUGGGUAAAGAAGCACCGGCUAACUACGUG